AGUGAACGCUGGCGGUAGGCCUAACACAUGCAAGUCGAACGGCAGCACCGUAAGAGCUUGCUCUUACGGGUGGCGCGUGGCGGACGGGUGCGGUAUACAUCGGAAUCUACUUUUUCGUGGGGGAUAACGUAGGGAAACUUACGCUGAUACCGCAUACGACCUCCGUAUGACAGCCGGCGAUCUUCGGACCUUGCGCGAUUGAAUGAGCCCAGGUCGGAUUAGCUCGUUGGCGGGGUAGAGGCGCACCAAGGCGACGAUCGGUAGCGGGUCUGAGAGGAAGGUCAGGUAGACUGGAUGUGAGGCUCGGCCCAGACUCUGACGCGAAGCAACAGCGGAGAAUAUUGGACGAGGGGCGCAAGGGUGAUCCAGCCAUACCGGGUGGGGGAAGAAGGCGCUCGGGCUGGAGAGCCAUGAUGGUGGUAAAGAAGAGCAGCUCUUUAAUAGCCCGCUGUUCUGACGGUACCCGAAGAAGAAGCACCGGCUAACUUCGUG
Molecule: ribosomal RNA, 492 nt
Filed under: uncultured bacterium
Lineage: Bacteria
Description: partial 16S ribosomal RNA
Rfam family: Bacterial small subunit ribosomal RNA
Source: RNAcentral